GGUAAAAUGGCUGAUUAAGGCGAUAAAUUGUAAAUUUAUUUAUGGAAAUCUCCUUUUACUA
RNAcentral lists this transfer RNA (61 nucleotides) under Hyalomma rufipes. RNAcentral's name for it is "tRNA-Tyr". It matches the Rfam family "tRNA". From Rfam's summary of the family: Transfer RNA (tRNA) molecules are approximately 80 nucleotides in length. Their secondary structure includes four short double-helical elements and three loops (D, anti-codon, and T loops). Further hydrogen bonds mediate the characteristic L-shaped molecular structure. tRNAs have two regions of fundamental functional importance: the anti-codon, which is responsible for specific mRNA codon recognition, and the 3' end, to which the tRNAs corresponding amino acid is attached (by aminoacyl-tRNA synthetases). tRNAs cope with the degeneracy of the genetic code in two manners: having more than one tRNA (with a specific anti-codon) for a particular amino acid; and 'wobble' base-pairing, i.e. permitting non-standard base-pairing at the 3rd anti-codon position. The record is from RNAcentral. Lineage: Eukaryota; Metazoa; Arthropoda; Arachnida; Ixodida; Ixodidae.